Molecule: ribosomal RNA, 496 nt
Filed under: uncultured bacterium
Lineage: Bacteria
Description: partial 16S ribosomal RNA
Rfam family: Bacterial small subunit ribosomal RNA
Source: RNAcentral
GAUGAACGCUGGCGGCGUGCCUAAUACAUGCAAGUCGAGCGAACGGACGAGAAGCUUGCUUCUCUGAUGUUAGCGGCGGACGGGUGAGUAACACGUGGAUAACCUACCUAUAAGACUGGGAUAACUUCGGGAAACCGGAGCUAAUACCGGAUAAUAUUUUGAACCGCAUGGUUCAAAAGUGAAAGACGGUCUUGCUGUCACUUAUAGAUGGAUCCGCGCUGCAUUAGCUAGUUGGUAAGGUAACGGCUUACCAAGGCAACGAUGCAUAGCCGACCUGAGAGGGUGAUCGCCCACACUGAACGUGAGACCGGGCCCAGCUCCCUAGGGGGGGCAGCGUUGGGAAUCUUUCGGAAAUGGGCGAAGCCCGAACGGAGCAACGCCGGGUGGGUAAUAAGGUUUUCCGGUCGUAAAACUCUGUUAUUAGGGAAGAACAUAUGUGUAAGUAACUGUGCACAUCUUGACGGUACCUAAUCAGAAAGCCACGGCUAACUACGUG